Molecule: non-coding RNA, 185 nt
Filed under: Pedobacter cryoconitis
Lineage: Bacteria; Pseudomonadati; Bacteroidota; Sphingobacteriia; Sphingobacteriales; Sphingobacteriaceae
Source: RNAcentral
GUUACAUCAAACGGAAAUGGUUAUACUUAAUUGUAGAUUAAUAGGGAAUCGUGUGUAAAUCACGAACUGUCGCGCAACUGUAAGUAACUAAAAAAGGUUUUCAUUUAAAAAAUAUCCACUGUUCUACCCAUAGAAUGAUGAAAAUCGUUACAAGUCAGGAGACCUGCCUAUUCCGAAUGGACAAU